Populus euphratica (Euphrates poplar) is the source of this 2900-nucleotide RNA transcript. It is a transcript of the gene named probable receptor-like protein kinase At1g11050, with no coding region annotated. NCBI's taxonomy places the organism in Eukaryota, Viridiplantae, Streptophyta, Magnoliopsida, Malpighiales, Salicaceae. The transcript has 3 exons. The record is from RefSeq and is a predicted model, not a curated record.
AAUGGCGCUAAGUGUGCUAACCGGCUGAACUUCCAGCUGCACCAACCCUUGAAGCGAGUGUUUGACCAGAACUUUCCCUUUCUUCUUCCAUAUGAUUUCUUCGUCUUCUUCUUCCUCUCCUCUGCAGUUCCAGCCAGAGCUCUGAAGCCAAGAUAACAAUAAAUCCUAAGCAACCCUAUUCUUAGCAAAAUCAAAAGCUUGGCAUGGGGGGCAGCACUAAUCUUGAUUUCUUAAGGUUUCUUGUCUUAAUAUCAUUCUGUCUCCCUCUCACCUAUGCAGCAGCAGAAUCCUCCACUUCAAACAUAUGCCCUAUGGACCUUAACUAUGUCUUAAGAAUCCCAUGGAACAAAACUCUUUGUCGAAACUUCAACCCUCUUGCUCAAAAUAACAAUUCCAACUCCACAAGCAAGCCCCCAUGUUGCCAAACCAUACUCUCCCUCUUUGGGGUUGCCCUAUCUCAACAUCUCAAAGGAACCUCUCUUUUUCAACUUCCAAACUUAGCUACCUCUAGUUCUUGCCUUCAAGAUUACCAGUCAAAGCUCAGCUCCUUUUCUCUUUCCGACAAUCUUGUCUCUCACUGCUUCAACCCUUCACAGUUUGUUACAUCACCUUUCAUCUGUGCCCGUAUAGAGACAUCUCAAGACUGGGUUGAUCAACUUGGUAAGUCGACUUCUCUUGAUUCAGAUUGCCGGUCUGAUCUUACUGAUCUUACAGCUUGUGAUUCUUGUCUUAGAGCUGGUUAUAAAGUACAGUCGUUGUUGUUGGCUGCUGAUGGUAAUACAACUCAUGCUCAAGAUUGUUUUUACUUUGCUGUUCUCUAUGCUGCUGGUAUUGUUAACGAGUUUGGUCCUGAAAGUGAUGGUGUUGUUUCAUGUAUAUUUGGUUUGGAAUUAAAUUCAAGAGUUGGUUCAGCUAGCAAUUCUCAUUCUGCUCUUGUUUUUGGCUUGACUGGUGCUGGUGUUGCUAUUUUGGUAAUGUCUAGCUUGUUAGGAUUGUAUCUUUGGUAUGAUAAGAAAUGGAGAAGGAAAAAAAAUUUAGGGUUUGGUUUUGAUUUAGAUGAACAACAAGGGUCUAGGCCUAAACUGAGGCCGAAUACAGGGUCAAUUUGGUUUAAAAUUCGGGAUCUUGAGAAGGCAACAGACAAUUUCUCGCAGAAGAAUUUUAUUGGGAGAGGCGGGUUUGGUUUUGUUUACAAGGGGGUUUUAUCUGAUGGGACAGUGGUGGCUAUUAAAAGUGUUAUAGAAUCUGAUUUUCAAGGUGAUGCAGAGUUUUGCAACGAGGUUGAGAUUAUUAGCAACUUGAAGCACAGGAAUUUGGUGCCACUCAGAGGGUGCUGUGUGAUUGACGAUGAUGUAAAUUCUGAUGAGAGAGGCAAUCAGAGGUAUCUUGUUUAUGAUUACAUGUCAAAUGGGAAUCUUGAUGACCAUUUAUUUCCAUCAUCGGAUAAUCAAAUUCAAAAGCAAUUGUUAAGUUGGCCUCAAAGAAAGAGCAUAAUUUUGGAUGUGGCAAAGGGAUUAGCUUAUUUGCACCAUGGAGUCAAGCCUGGAAUAUAUCAUAGAGAUAUCAAGGGGACAAAUAUAUUGUUAGAUGCUGAUAUGAGAGCAAGAGUUGCCGAUUUUGGGUUGGCAAAGCAAAGUAGGGAAGGGCAGUCUCAUCUUACGACAAGAGUGGCUGGAACUCAUGGGUACUUAGCACCCGAAUAUGCUCUUUAUGGUCAAUUGACUGAGAAGAGCGAUGUUUAUAGCUUUGGGGUGGUUGUUUUGGAGAUAAUGAGUGGGAGAAAAGCUCUUGAUUUGUCUUCUUCAGGGUCACCUCGGGCUUUAUUGAUCACAGACUGGGCCUGGUCAUUGGUGAAAGCUGGAAAAGUGGAACAGGCUUUGGAUGCUUCUUUGUUGAGAGGUAGUGAUUCUUCAAAUUCAAAUCCGAAGGGGAUAAUGGAAAGGUUUGUGCUGGUUGGGAUUUUGUGUGCUCAUAUAAUGGUGGCUCUAAGGCCAACCAUUCUGGAUGCGCUGAAAAUGUUAGAAGGAGAUAUUGAAGUUCCACAGAUUCCAGAUCGACCAGUGCCUCUUGGGCACCCUUCGUUCCAUGCUGAUGGCAAUAAUUUCAGCAUCUCACCAGUAUUGAGUGGACCAAAAUUACAGCCUGGAGACAUACUUAGAUCUUCCAAGUGGCCUGAGACUACAAGAGGUAGCCAUAUUAAGACUAGCCAACAAAAAACUUCAAAUCACCAUUUUAUGACAACAACAUUGCUUGGUAGACCAAUGCCUGACAAAAACUAAAGCCAAAACAAAACUCAAAAGAGGACAGUUUGAGGCUGAUUUCCAAAGCCUAAGAAUAUGAAGAAGUUCAGCUUCAUUUCCAGUCGAGCAUACCGACAGAACAUGAGAAAAAUACAAGCGAAAGGCCACACCAACAAUGUAAUGAGGCUGAUAAAUUGAAGGCUAAAAGAAUCAAGGCUUAACAAUUUGCUGCUUCAUUACAAGAGAGCUUCUACAGCUACCUUUGAUGUCUUUAAUCAGUCUGUAGCUGACUGCAGCACUUUCUGCAGUGGAAUGAGACACACAGGUAGAUCAUACUUUGUUGCUCAUAUUUGCUGAUAAAUCUAGGUGUCAUUGACUUUGGUCCUUUGUUACUAUAAUGUGGCCGCCGUAGAGGGUCUAGUGCCGAUGGCUUCUCUGCUUGAGGUUGUAAGGAACUUAUUCAUCAAUUUCUAACGUGUGAAGUUGAACCAAACCUUAAAGGACUACAAUUGUUUAGUUUCUUGCCGGUAGGGUAUUGGUCUUGUGACCUCAUAAUCGAUAGGUGCAAUUUUGUACGUGAAGAAAUACCUGUGCAGAUGGCACUAUGGUCCAGCAAUUGUUUCCACACAUCCAACAGAAUUUUAAGCAUCUCUUCUUUCA